AUCGUCACCGUCGAUGAGUGCGUAAUCUUC
RNAcentral lists this non-coding RNA (30 nucleotides) under Actinoplanes sp. SE50/110. Lineage: Bacteria; Bacillati; Actinomycetota; Actinomycetes; Micromonosporales; Micromonosporaceae. The record is from RNAcentral.